GAUGAACGCUGGCGGCGUGCCUAAUACAUGCAAGUCGAGCGAACGGACGAGAAGCUUGCUUCUCUGCUGUUAGCGGCGGACGGGUGAGUAACACGUGGAUAACCUACCUAUAAGACUUGGAUAACUUCGGGACGCCGGAGCUAAUACCGGAUAAUAUUUUGAACCGCAUGGUUCAAAAGUGAAAGACGGUCUUGCUGUCACUUAUAGAUGGAUCCGCGCUGCAUUAGCUAGUUGGUAAGGUAACGGCUUACCAAGGCAACGAUGCAUAGCCGACCUGAGAGAGUGAUCGGCCACACUGGAACUGAGACACGGUCCAGACUCCUACGGGAGGCAGCAGUAGGGAAUCUUCCGCGAUGGACGAAAGCCUGACGGAGCAACGCCGCGUGAGUGAUGAAGGUCUUCGGAUCGUAAAACUCUGUUAUUAGGGAAGAACAUAUGUGUAAGUAACUGUGCACAUCUUGACGGUACCUAAUCAGAAAGCCACGACUAACUACAUG
This 497-nucleotide ribosomal RNA is filed under the name uncultured bacterium. RNAcentral describes it as "partial 16S ribosomal RNA". It matches the Rfam family "Bacterial small subunit ribosomal RNA", at positions 28 to 507 of the family's 1533-position model. The record is from RNAcentral.